Molecule: ribosomal RNA, 253 nt
Filed under: uncultured bacterium
Lineage: Bacteria
Description: partial 16S ribosomal RNA
Rfam family: Bacterial small subunit ribosomal RNA
Source: RNAcentral
UACAGAGGGUGCAAGCGUUAAUCGGAAUUACUGGGCGUAAAGCGUGCGUAGACGGUUACAUAAGUCGGGUGUGAAAGCCCCGGGCUCAACCUGGGAAUUGCAUUCGAGACUGCGUAGCUAGGGUGCGGAAGAGGGAAGCGGAAUUUCCGGUGUAGCGGUGAAAUGCGUAGAUAUCCGGAGGAACACCGGUGGCGAAGGCGGCUUCCUGGACCGACACUGACGCUGAGGCGCGAAAGCUAGGGGAGCAAACGGG